Myodes glareolus (Bank vole) is the source of this 104-nucleotide small nuclear RNA. The record is from RefSeq and is a predicted model, not a curated record. NCBI's taxonomy places the organism in Eukaryota, Metazoa, Chordata, Mammalia, Rodentia, Cricetidae.
GUUCUCUUUGGUAGCACAUACACUAAAAUUGAAACUCUACAGAGAAGGUUAGCAUGGCUCCUAUCAAGGAUGACACACAAAUUCACGAAGCAUUCCAUAUUUCU